CCGCACUUAGCUUCCGCGGAGGCCUCUACCAGUUCCGGCGCUCCGCUCUCAUGCGCCGGCACGACAGGACGUCGUGGUGGCCAAGGCGGCGGGCUGGCGGGUUUGUCUUUUCCAGCCACACGCGCACGGUGUCAUUGAGAGCAGCACACUCCGCGGAGCGCACUAAUUUUUCUGGAAUUCCGAGAAUCUCACGCACGGUCUCGGCCUGGAGCUCCGUUUGUUUCCAGGCGAUUGGUGGAUUUGUUUGGGGAAUCCAGUUCCUCUUAUGCCCAAAUUUUGUUGGCGGAAUCGGUUGGCCAGAGGAGCAAGGUUAGGGCAGUGACGGGAAGAGAGACUGGUCGCAAUGACGUCCCUGUCGCGGAUGCUCUCCCUGGCCGGCCCAAUGCAGCCGUCGGGGCCUCGCCGGAUUUCGAGGACACAGACCGCCGUCAACCUCGGCGAGCCCAUCUUCGACAGUGAGGUGGUGCUGUCGUCGCUCGUGGAGAUCGCGCCAAUCCUCCGUGUCACCAAAGAGGUCGAGGCGGCCAACCCCCGCGUCGCCUACCUCUAUUGAUGCGGAACUUGAUGCACCAUAGUGUACAUGAUGCACCUUCACUACUGUUCAGAUUGGGUAACUCGUUCGGUUCCAUAACACGCUCAUCCACGCGACGCACGGAGGCAGACACAUUGGUCACCUGGAAGACAGAGCAGGAGGACGCCGCGCCCAGCGGACCAUGGGACAAUGCGCCUUGGGGGCCGAUGGGGUGGCACGUCGUGGGUGCCGGCAAGUGUGGCUGCAAGUGGCUUCUAAGGUGUGAUCUACCUGCAAUAAUCAAUAAUGUAUUAAUCCUGCACUCAUGUAUCCAAAGUGAUAUUCUCACAAAUUACUGGAGUUCGGCUGCUCCCUUACAUAGCAAGACUGCUACUACUACUACAGAUUAAAUGUUGUAUACAUGUAGCCUAUACUAACAUAGAAGAUAUUAAACAUUGUUCUGUGUACUGACAUAGCAGUAAUAUAAGGCAAGACAUUUGAAGGAUUGCUCACACUAAAAUAAGAAAUUGUACUGAACUUAAAAUAAGAUUUGCACUGAACUAACACUAGAAUUUGAACUGAACUAAAAUAGAUCUUUGUUUACCUUUCAAAAAAAAUAGGUCUUUGUUUAGGCAUUUAAGCAAACACCCGACAGCAAAAAAAGUGACUGACAUUUAGAAAUAAAGACGAUGGUAUAGAAAAAUUCAUGCAAGAAUGAGAAGUACGACUCCGACAUUUUAGCAACAAACAAAUGACUAGGGUAGCAAAUGUUCAAACUGAAACAAACCCAUUUCUCUCUCAUAUUAACUCUUUGUCCAUGGAUCCAUGUGCUGUAGCAUGUGAACUCCAAAGCUAGCAAUAGUAGUAGCUUCCAUAUUGUAUAUCCCAAUCCCAGGCUGCAUGACUGCCAUGGACUCAUAACAAACCACUUAUGCAUUUUAAACAAACACCUAGAAGGCACGGCAAAUGUGCCAAAAAAAUCAAUUAUUGAGUUGCAUACUAGUGAGCCAACCAUAGAAUAGAGCGAAUGGAAGAGCUUGAACAAUCCACAACAUACACACACGAGAAUUGAGUUUCUGAAAAGAAUUUUAGUUAUGAUGUGCUGAACUAAAACCACGUCAACAAUUUGCAAACAGAGGUAAUAAUAUACUAUAGGAGGAAUUUAUUUAAAUGUUUUUCAAUUUUUUGAACUUACGGUUCUCGCGAUUCCAAACAUCUAGAUUUCUGUUCUACGAAUAUCUUGACUUUUUCCUAGUGACAAAUAAAAACGCUAUAAGAAGUAGUACUGAAUUCCUGCAUCACGCCUUCAAGGGUGAACCACACUGGAAGCUUGACCAAAAUCCUCAUUGGAGUUUAUAUUUGAACUAGCCACGGUUUAUUUUUUGAGCUUACCUGGUAGUAAUACAUGAACUCUAGCACCCAAUACAAGUAUCAUGCGACAAUAUGUAAACAAAAAAGAUGCAGGUUAAAACAAAAGUUGAAAUAGCAGACAAACUCGAAGAUGCUAGCAUCAACGAUCUUCUAACUGAAGCACCAUAGGUUCCCAAUUUAAUACCACUACAGAGUACUACAAUAAUUCUGUCAAAAUUAAGUACACAAAGAACCUGCACAUCAAUCCAUCACAGGAUCAUCCAUUUUACAUUCCAUCCCCAAAUAUGCCAUCUAAAUUCAGAGUUGGAAGCUCUCUAAAUUAAGCCAUCUAAAAACUAA
Triticum aestivum (bread wheat) is the source of this 2221-nucleotide long non-coding RNA. RefSeq lists it as uncharacterized. The record is from RefSeq and is a predicted model, not a curated record. The transcript is spliced from 4 exons. Lineage: Eukaryota; Viridiplantae; Streptophyta; Magnoliopsida; Poales; Poaceae.